UACUAAUCAUAUGGCACAUUACAUACUGUACGUUUCUUUAAAUAUAUAUAUAAACAAUGCAGGAACAAGGAUUGCCACGAAAAUAUUUUCUCAAAAUUUCCUGGAAAAAAAAAAAGAAAAAGAUAUGAGGUUCACAAAAUCAAACAAAAAUAAAUAUAUAAUGCGACUUUCGUUUCAUUGUCUUUCUCAACAUAUUUAUUUAUAUGUUUCUUUCUCAAAAAAAAAAAAUAUAUAUAUUAUAACCGUUAAAAAAUUGAUCAUUGGAUGUUUGCAUGUUUGGUCCACAAAGACAUAGUAGAGCCUUGACCACAUCUCUCCAACUGAGUCUGCUCUUACAUGAUUGCCCCCAAUGCCAAUACUACUACUAGUAAACCAUUUCCAAUACCAAAAAUUACUCUACCGGGAUCCAAAAUUGAACUUACUAUCCCC
This 429-nucleotide long non-coding RNA is filed under the name Capsella rubella. RNAcentral's name for it is "long non-coding RNA (CRUB_LNC004661)". The record is from RNAcentral. Lineage: Eukaryota; Viridiplantae; Streptophyta; Magnoliopsida; Brassicales; Brassicaceae.